Molecule: ribosomal RNA, 414 nt
Filed under: Dysdera coiffaiti
Lineage: Eukaryota; Metazoa; Arthropoda; Arachnida; Araneae; Dysderidae
Description: partial large subunit ribosomal RNA
Rfam family: Bacterial large subunit ribosomal RNA (bases 88-369)
Source: RNAcentral
AGAAUAGAAUGAACGGAAACCCGAAUUUUAGCCUGUUUCAUUUUUACCUAAUAAAANUACCUAAAAGUAAAAACUCUUUUUUUUAAAAAAAAGACGAUAAGACCCUAUAGAACUACACUUCAGUUUAGCUGGGGCGGCUUUUUAAAAAAAUCUUAUCUUAAUUCCUUAAAACCUUUUUUUAUUAAAGUUACCUUAGGGAUAACAGCAUAAUAUAAUUUUAUAGCUCAUAUAAAAAAUUACGAUUAUGACCUCGAUGUUGAAUUAAACCUCUGCUAGACGAAAAAAAUUAGCAAGAAAGUCUGUUCGACUUAUAAUAAUUUACAUGAUUUGAGUUCAGACCGGUGAAAACCAGGUCGGUUUCUAUCUUUUUUAAAAAUGUACCAGUACGAAAGGACCUUACAACUUACUAAAAAU